AUGAAUACAAUAAAAUAUAUAAGAUUACCUGAUUUUGGAUCUCUUCAUUGGCCACUCUGGCAGGAGUCGUGCAAUGCCAACAAGACAGACAUGCCCAUUAGGCAUCACCCUGAAGAAGAAAGUAAUGCCUUUUUUCUGGAGUUGUUCUACGAUACUCUCCUUCCUGGUCCCAAUACUGUUCUCCAAAUGUUAUCGGAACACUGUCCUCUCCUAAUUCUUUUCCUAUCUACCCAACUGGAGGACCUGGUAAAGUAGGCAGUCCAGAGACACGGUGAAGAGCAACUGAGCAGACUGGGUCCGAGAGGAACUCACCUGGGAUAGAGCAAUUCCACAGACAAAUGACCAUCUGGCUGUGAGCAAGUUCUCUAAUCAUUCAUGGUGUUGAUGUUGUUUGGUCAUUUCAAUUGUGUCUCACUCUUCAUGACCUCAUUUGGCAUUUUCUUGGCAAAGAUACUGGAGUGGUUUGUCAUUUCCUUCUCCAGCUCAUUUUACAGAUGAGGAAACUGAGGCCAACAGACUUAAGUGACUAGCCCAGGGUCACACAACUAGUAAGUAUCUGAGGCCAGAUUUGAACUCAGGAAGCUGAGUCUUUCUGAUUCCAAACUCAGUCUCCUAUCCAUUGGCACCCAGAUAUCACAAUUAUUCUUGGUAACUAGAUGUUCAGCUCCUUCUCUAUUGCCCACAGAUUAACUUCCAUUAGGUCACUUCACUUUCAGUGCACACACUCGUUAUGGCUCUUCUGUUAAGCUGGCCUUUUUAGUCAUAAGACUAGAGUGCUGACCCCUAACCAUUCAGCUUAUAGUCCUCUGUGACCCCUCCAUCUUCUCUCCCUGGGACCCUUAUUCUCAGCCCUGUGGUCUCCCUAAUCUAACUAUCUCUCCUUUAGCCAGCCAUGACGGCCAGCGGCAUAGUUUGUUUAUGGUACCUGGCCCCCACCCACCUCGGCUGUGGUUCACUAACUCCCCCUAAUUAGAUUUGGCUAUUUUAGGCCCAUCUCUAAUACAAUCCACAGGAGGCUGGCCCUCAUCUGCAGAGCUGAGUAUGUACUAAAGACUUUCCCUCUGUGCCUCUCCUCCCAACAAGGCCUCUUUGAUCUUUCUGAGCCAUUGCUGUUAAUGGCAUUAAAGGAAGGCUGCUCCAGUGGGGCAAAGAGAUUAAUAUGCAAAGACAGACUAAUGGGCCAGAGUCUGUUAGAACAACAAUGUUUAGAAGCCUGAGAUGGACACAGGCCUUUGUGCAAAGCAGGUUUAUGAAG
This 1255-nucleotide long non-coding RNA is filed under the name Monodelphis domestica (gray short-tailed opossum). RNAcentral describes it as "lncRNA (ENSMODG00000037335.1)". The record is from RNAcentral. Lineage: Eukaryota; Metazoa; Chordata; Mammalia; Didelphimorphia; Didelphidae.